UCUGAGAUCCAUGAUCAGGGUCUGUCGACUGUCACUCCUCCACUUUUAUCUAAUUAUUUGUAUGUGCUGCUGUGACAUCUUGUCACUUUAAAUUAUGUAUUAUCGUGUACUCUAUGUUGCACCCUGAUCUGAUGGAGUGCCGGGCUUCAUUAUCCUCACCACUCAUAAGCUUUUGCUUUGCUGCGAUGGCUCCGUGUGUCCCCAGAAGUGA
Molecule: long non-coding RNA, 211 nt
Filed under: Hordeum vulgare
Lineage: Eukaryota; Viridiplantae; Streptophyta; Magnoliopsida; Poales; Poaceae
Description: long non-coding RNA (HVUL_LNC021127)
Source: RNAcentral